CCUACGGGCGGCUGCAGUGAGGAAUAUUGGUCAAUGGGCGCUAGCCUGAACCAGCCAAGUCGCGUGAAGGAUGACUGCCCUGUGGGUUGUAAACUUCUUUUAUAUGGGAAUAAAGUGCAGUAUGUAUACUGCUUUGCAUGUACCUUAUGAAUAAGGAUCGGCUAACUCCGUGCCAGCAGCCGCGGUAAUCCGGAGGAUCCGAGCGUUAUCCGGAUUUAUUGGGUUUAAAGGGAGCGUAGGCGGGUUGUUAAGUCAGUUGUGAAAGUUUGCGGCUCAACCGUAAAAUUGCAGUUGAUACUGGCAGCCUUGAGUACAGUAGAGGUAGGCGGAAUUCGUGGUGUAGCGGUGAAAUGCUUAGAUAUCACGAAGAACUCCGAUUGCGAAGGCAGCCUGCUGGACUGUAACUGACGCUGAUGCUCGAAAGUGUGGGUAUCAAACAGGAUUAGAUACCCCAGUAGUC
This 460-nucleotide ribosomal RNA is filed under the name uncultured bacterium. RNAcentral's name for it is "partial 16S ribosomal RNA". It matches the Rfam family "Bacterial small subunit ribosomal RNA", at positions 338 to 795 of the family's 1533-position model. The record is from RNAcentral.